ACGCUUGAAGUCAGUCGCGUUGGCCGGAAAUCAGCCUUCCUUUUGGUUGGUGUACUUUCUGGUUGACGGGCCAGCAUCAGUUUUGACCGAUGGAAAAAGUUGUGAGGAAUGUGGCAUCUUCGGGUGUGUUAUAGCCUCGCUUCGUAUACAUCGGUUGGGACUGAGGAACUCAGCACGCCGAAAGGCCGGGGCUCGCCCACGUUCGUGCUUAGGAUGCUGGCAUAAUGGCUUUAAUCGACCCGUCUUGAAACACGGACCAAGGAGUC
This 266-nucleotide ribosomal RNA is filed under the name Coprinellus sp. SZMC-NL-1556. RNAcentral's name for it is "partial large subunit ribosomal RNA". It matches the Rfam family "Eukaryotic large subunit ribosomal RNA", at positions 419 to 675 of the family's 3401-position model. The record is from RNAcentral. Lineage: Eukaryota; Fungi; Basidiomycota; Agaricomycetes; Agaricales; Psathyrellaceae.